Molecule: long non-coding RNA, 967 nt
Filed under: Mus spicilegus (steppe mouse)
Lineage: Eukaryota; Metazoa; Chordata; Mammalia; Rodentia; Muridae
Description: lncRNA (ENSMSIG00000017974.1)
Source: RNAcentral
CUCAACAAAUUAGACAUAUGAGAAUGUUCUAGAAGGAUACUUACAUCAAUUCCUUUCUACCUUCACAUAUUUCCAACUUAUAUCACUACAAAAGACUGGACAUUUCUUCUUAUAUGCAAGCCAAUGUGGUCUGCAUGCAAUGCUCUGUCAACUUCUUUUGAGUCUAAAAAUAUAUGAUGUAAACAAAACUGUUCGCAGACUUGAGGUAACCGGUCGAAGGAAUGGAUGGUUUUCCAUUGGCAGCCAUUCCACCCACAGAUUCUCAUUUAAAUCUCUUCUUUCUUUAUCAUGCCCAGGAAACUAAGAAGAGAAAGAGGAAGUUCCUCAACUGAAGAGAACUCUGCACCAUGUGACUCUAUAAAUAAGUGUGAAGAGUACAGCUGGAUAAGGUCGAGCAAAGGAGAGGAACUUUCUGUAGACUACUUAGGAAAACCACAGAAGAAAAAUGGCAGAUUCAUGAGAACCUCAUGGAUUUCCCCCAGAAAUGCCCUCUGAUGGCUCAUUCCAGGGAAUUGAUAAAGCUGAAAUCAAAGGAUCUACUAACGUCUACAGUAAGCAAGAGACAAAUGGGAAAAGUAUGCAUACUGCUUUUGUCUUUGGUAAUUGACAUGUUAACUGUCCCGUAGAAGUCAAGAGAUAUAAAUUCCAUUCAUAGAGGAAUCUUAAAGAAACUCUAGUGUUCUAAGAAUCUAACAAUACAAGCAAAUUUAUUUCACUUUAUCUCUCCCCACUCCCUAGAGACCAAAACAAAAACAAAACAAAGGACUUCAACAAAAAAAUACUACAUAGCAACAGGAGUUGAAUCUGCUGUUUGCAUCACAGAGUGCCAGAACUAAGCUGAGCAUGGUGAUCUGGGACUGUGAAAGCAAGUGGAGCUCAACACCAUCCUGGGCUGCCAGGAAUUGGUGAGGCCAACUAAUCUCCAUGAGACACUAUCACAAAAUUAAACAGAUAAGAAAAAUAUGGG